Long non-coding RNA from Dermochelys coriacea (leatherback sea turtle), 600 nucleotides. RefSeq lists it as uncharacterized. The transcript has 2 exons. NCBI's taxonomy places the organism in Eukaryota, Metazoa, Chordata, Testudines, Dermochelyidae. The record is from RefSeq and is a predicted model, not a curated record.
UUCACAGAACCCCGGUCUUUUAUUCCUGAAAUUUUUCUAGUAGCAUAAAAAAUAAGGAAAGAAUAUGCGGACGACAGGUAGAAAAAUUAGUUUAAAUAACAUGUUUUCCAAAGUCUUCCAUGUAAGGUUGGCAUAUCUUUAACCCAACCAGUAAUAGAAAAUGAAUGGAGUUAUGUGUUUUUUUCCAUCUUUAUAAAUUAUAUACUGUAUAUGUAGCAUGGCCUCAAAAUUUCAGUCAUGUUUUGGUUUUUCUGUAUGCACUGACAUUUUAGAAACGCAUACACUGUUUAGUAUUUCUUAGCUUAGCUGACAAAUAUUUCCCCAGACACCGAAGUUACUGUGGCUGCUCCCCAGAAUUAGAAUUCCCCUUACUUGAAUUUUUUUAGGCUCUCAGCUACAGCUAAAUACAAUGUUGCCAACUCUUGCAAUUUCACUGAAAACUUUGUGAUGGUUGUGAUGGCUUUUUCUUAAGCCCUGGAUCCUGGAGUCAGGUGAUUUUAAUGAGAAACUUAGCUUUCAUUGAUAAAUAAAAGUAAGAUUCUAGUUCUUGUGGCUGUGGACAAAAGCUUGAAAAUGUGAUCCAAGUGAACCCUAAGGGCU